Molecule: ribosomal RNA, 548 nt
Filed under: Conus caracteristicus
Lineage: Eukaryota; Metazoa; Mollusca; Gastropoda; Neogastropoda; Conidae
Description: partial 12S ribosomal RNA
Source: RNAcentral
AAACCAAGAAAUUUAGUCAUUCUUGUACGGUAAAAAGACAGUUAAGCGCAAAGUAAAGGACCAUCGGACGUUUAGUAGAGGAGUAAAAUCUAAAUACUGGAAAUUAUACCGGGUAUGGUUUUGAGAUGCUGAAUCUGUGAAAUCUUUAAGGGAAACUGGGAUUGGAUACCCCAUUAUUUUUAGUUGUAAACUUAGUUUAAACUUACCAGAGUACUACGAAUAAAAAGUUUAAAACUCAAAGGGCUUGGCGGUGUUUUAGACCUCUUAGGGGAACCUGUCUCAUAAUCGACAAUCCACGUUAGACCUGACCCUUUAUGGUAAAACAGCCUGUAUACCGUCGUCGUCAGGUAACUUUUUAAAAUACAGAAGUUAGCCCGAGAAUUAUAUUAAUUAAAACGUCAGAUCAAGGUGCAGCUAAUGAAAGGGGGAGGAUGGGUUACAAUUACAUAUUUGUAAAUACGGAUUAACAUUUGAAAUAAAAUGUUUUAAAGGAGGACUUGAAAGUAAUUUUGAUUAUAUAAACAGAAUGAAUAAGGCUCUGAAACGUG